This 460-nucleotide ribosomal RNA is filed under the name uncultured bacterium. Its description in RNAcentral is "partial 16S ribosomal RNA". It matches the Rfam family "Bacterial small subunit ribosomal RNA", at positions 338 to 795 of the family's 1533-position model. The record is from RNAcentral.
CCUACGGGUGGCUGCAGUAGGGAAUAUUGGUCAAUGGGCGCGAGCCUGAACCAGCCAAGUAGCGUGAAGGAUGAAUGCCCUACGGGUUGUAAACUUCUUUUAUAAAGGAGUAAAGUGAGGCACGUGAGCCUUUUUGUAUGUACUUUAUGAAUAAGGAUCGGCUAACUCCGUGCCAGCAGCCGCGGUAAUACGGAGGAUCCGAGCGUUAUCCGGAUUUAGUGGGUUUAAAGGGAGCGUAGAUGGGUUGUUAAGUCAGUUGUGAAAGUUUGCGGCUCAACCGUAAAAUUGCAAUUGAUACUGGCAGUCUUGAGUACAGUUGAGGUAGGCGGAAUUCGUGGUGUAGCGGUGAAAUGCUUAGAUAUCACGAAGAACUCCGAUUGCGAAGGCAGCUUACUAAACUGCAACUGACAUUGAUGCUCGAAAGUGUGGGUAUCAAACAGGAUUAGAUACCCGGGUAGUC